CAUACUCUCUCUCUUCCUCAGACCUCACUCUCUCUCUCUCACCCUCUCGAACACACAGGCAACCACCCAAAACCACCUAAAACUUAUACCAACGUCGGAUUUAAAGCUACCAUGGCAUUCCUGAGGACUCCACGAUCACGUAGACACCAAUUUCAGGUAAGUUUUACUUCGGAAAACCUAGAUUCUAAACUCCCCGUGAAAGUGCACUGUUCAUGAUCUUCGAAUUGACUUUGUUUUAGGACAAUCCAAGCUCAUAGCAAGCUUGGUGAGGUCCCAAGGAAGCUCGGAGUGCUUCGUUGGAAGUUUUUGGACGUAAGAACACGGAGAUCGACAAGUUCAAAGUUUAGCCGGAGCUUUCGAGGCGUUUUCCGGCGAAUCCCCGGCGAGUUAGGAGUCGAGGUAGGUAUCAAUCUCUUCGUCUCGUCAAGUACUACAACUUUCCUUUUUGUUUCACUCAAUUUCGUUGAGUAUUGAAGAAGUUAUACUCAUUUGAAAAAUACCCAGUUUCCGGCGACCUCCGAGGCUUUCGAGGCAGUUUCCGGCCAAACCACGGCGAACUAGGUGUUGUGCAAGGUAUCAUUCUCUUUGUCUCUUCAAGGGCUACAACUUUUGUUUUUGAAUCACUUGAUUUCGUUGAGAAAUGACAAAGUUAUGGCAAUUUGAAAAACUGCCCAGAAAACGGCCGCCGGAAAAAACCAGUCCGGCGACCCAAGGAAGAAGAAGGUGCUACAGUAAAAAUAAAAAAAAAUAAAAUAAAAUUAUUUUAAAAAUAUGUCGACGUCCGUGACGUCGAGUAGAUCACUGUGGUAUAUUCAUAUACCUAAAUUGAACACCGUAUGAGAAAGUUAUUGAAGAUUGUUGGUUAGGUGUUCAAAUAACGUUUUAUAGUUUUCACAUUUAGGUGAAAAUGUGAAUUGAUGAUCCGACCGUUGGAUCGUCACCAAACUUUGAUACGUUGUAAUACGUAAUAUUUGAGGAUUAUUGGAACUUACGGAUUGGGAAUCAGAGUUACUGAUCUUCCGGAAUUGGAAUUGUAAGUCCAUAAAUAUAAAAUGUUAACCGUCACUUAGUUUUGGAAAUUGACGGAGAUCCGACCGUUGGAUGGUAAUGAAAUUUUAGGAUGUUUGUCCUAGAGGUAUAUUGUGGACCUCUGGAAGUUAUGGAUUUAAAAUCUGAGUGGCAGAUCUUCCGGAUCGAUCAACGUAGUGACGUAUUUUAUAUAAGUUAUGUAUUCUAUCGAUAUGAAUUCUGAGGUUGGAAUUGAUUAUUGUUUUAGGCGCCGAUCGUCAUGACGCCUUGGCGUAUUGUGCUAGGGAGUUGUAGGGCGAACUCCAGGUGAGUGGGCAGUUUUGUUUUCCGUAUAUAUAUAUACUUGACGUUUCCCAGAAAUUGAAUUGAAAUGAAAAUAUGUUUAAAAUGAAAUGCAUAUGAGUUAUGUGGAAAAACGGGAAGUGAAAUACCAUGCAUAGAAUUGAUAUGAAAAGUAUAUAGAAAUGUGAGUUGAAAUGCCAUGCAUGAAUUAAUUUAUGAUGCAUAUGUAUGAAUUGGUGCGGUGGACGCACAUGUAAGAAUUGAUUUAUGAUGCAUAUGUAUGAAUUGGUGCGGUGGACGCACAUGUAAGAAUUGAUUUAUGAUGCAUAUGUAUGAAAUGGUGCGGUGGACGCACAGGUGAGUAUCAGGUGAUUAUUUAAAUACUGUUAUGAUGAUGUUGAUAUAUAUUGAGCUCAAAUCCUGCACCAUGGUUUAGUGCUUAUAGUAUUCACCGCAUCGCACGCUCGCCUUGGAUCCAAGUAGAUGCUAGUCGUACAGUCCACGCGGAGUGGGUACGACAGACCAGUCGCGAGAGAGUGUUAGUGAGAUUCCGACUGGUGGGUGACCUUAGAUUAUGUGCACAGAUGAUUUAUGAGAAGCACUAGAGCGUAACUUGUGUGCAGAAGGCCGGACGGGUCACAGAGGUGACUCCGGUAGAGUGAUAAUGAUAGAUUUUGAGCUCUAGGUUCAACCGUACAGGGCUAUUAGAGGGCCUACGGUUGAUUACUUUCUUGCACCUGAUAUGAUUAUGUUGAUGCAUUCAUACCUUAUUACUGUUGAGAUGAUGUGGCAUGGCAUAAUUAAUAUGAGAAAUGUUGAGAUGAUGUGGCAUGGCAUAACUGAUAUGAAAAAUGUUGAAAAAGUGAAAUGAAGUAUUGAGAAUAUAUAUGUAUAUUUAUAUUUUACAUUUCUGGGAAAGUAUACAGGUUUUACGGAGAGGGGUUACAACGUUAUGAGAAAUGUUUGGAUUUGGAAAAGAAUUGUUUUACUGACCCACUCAAUUUUGGUUUUGCGCCCCUCCAGGUUCAGGAAUCACAAAGGUGUGGUGACUACGAGGAAUACGGCGGGGUUCUGACAGAUUGGACAAAAUUAGGACUCACCUUCGGGUGUAUCAACUUAUAAAUUGUAUAAUUAAAGCUUCCGUACUGUGCAAAUGGUUACGUCACUCUCACGUGACGGCCAGCAUGCCCUCCUUCGGGACGGGGUGUGUCAGUUGGUAUCAGAGCAUGGUUGCAAUCUUGGACAUCUUGAGAAGUUUCUAGUGAAUUCUGUCAGAACUACACCGCCUCGUAGCAAACCACGUAGUUAGAGGAACUUAGUCUCCCUGAUUUAGCGGUUUGGGGGAAACUAUUAUUAUGGUGAUUCAGUAUAUUAUCAAAAUGGACAUUUUAAGACGGGUUAUGAGUUGAAUUUGAAUCACCUUAUGAAAUGAUGAACCUGAGGGAGCGGAGUGACGGUUUAACCAAUUGGAAAAGAUGUUUCAGAUUAUGCAAGUCAAAGGAAAUUUCCUUCUGACAGGUGGGUCGAGACGACUACCUGGUUUUGGGUAUGAAAUUGUAUCCUGGUGGAAACAGGAAUGUUAAUUGUUGUCACCAGAGGAAUCAGCCGAUUUAAAAUUUUUUAAGGAAAAGUUUAUCCCUCCGGCAUUUAUCGAUGGUAGUAAGCAAGAGUUUGCAAAUGUGAAUCAAGGAAGUUGACGAUAAAGUUAAUGAUUCGUCAUAUCAAGGAUAUAGAAAGAUUCAGAGCUUCGAAAGAAGUGAAGCUAGAGUUAAUUCUUCCAGCUGAGGUUUUAAUGUCGCUGGUCAGAGUAAAAGUGAUGGAUAUACUGGUAAUCCCAGAUAUUUGAGACAAGGUGUCUCGAGUAAAGGAAAUGUACUUUGUGCAGCAGGUACAAAAUUAACACUUUGGGAAAUGUGAAAUUAAUGAAUGUGUUUAUGUGAACAGAAGGGACACAGAGUUGUGAAUCGUCCCUAGAAUCAGUUGUACUCAACAAUUUUCCAUGAAAUCAUAGUGUCGAUUCAGCAGAGUUAUGGAUUUAGUAGUUUGGUCGGAUUGACCGUGGGUACAGAGAGAUUUGAUGAGUUAUAUGUUCAGUCGUACAGACCAUGAGAAGUGGAUUCGAUUGACACAUGAGAAAUUGGUGAGUUAUAGGCUCGGCCGUACCGACCACGCGGAGUGGAUCCGGCCGACGUAUUAUUGAGAUAAGAGUUGAAUCAGCCGUAUUGGUCAUUCUAGUUGACUUCGGCUGAUAUAUUUCUUAUUAUGUAUGUUAUUACCUAGAGAGUAGUAAAUAAAUGUAGUUGAGACGAGUGUAUGUAUUUUGCAUUGAGUGACAAAAUAGUAAUGUUAUAUCUUUGAGAGUGGUUGCCUACUUAUCGAGACAACGAUGAUUUAUCAGUAUUGCGGGCUGCAGACCGUAAUAUUAAUAACUCAUUCGUGGAUUCGUUAAGCAAGCAAACCGGUAGGUUAUUUUAUGUUAGUGUUGUACUUAUUUAGAAUGCUUAAUAAUAAUAGAAUAUAUAUUGUAUCAGUUAAUUCUGUUCCAUUAGAUUGGUUGGUUAUAAUUGUGACAAGACGGAAUGUUACGGGAAACCAGUACUUUCCAUCGAUCUGGAUGACCAGAGAUUACUUUUGUAAGUAUGCAAAGUGGAUUGAGUCAGGCCGUUAUUUAUGCUGUGAGAGCAAAGAGAUUGUUUUCGAAAGGCUGUCAAAAAUACUUAGCUCAUGUGGUGCUAAAUGAUGUUGUUUGGAGUAGUGUGAAUAAUGUCGAAAGGGUUAGACUUUUCUUGAUGUCUUCCCUGAAAGUAUACCUGGAUUGCCUUCAGGCAGAGAUAUGAGGUUCACUAUUGAUUUGUUGCCAGGUAUAAAUUUAUAUUGGAGAUUGGUUCAUGAUGAGUUAAGGGAAUUGGAAAUUCAGUUGAGGGAAUUGGUUGAUAAAAGUUUUAUUCAACCUAGUACAACACUUUUGAGGAGCCCCAGUUUGUUGGUGAGGAAGAAAAUGGAUCUUGAGACUGUUCAUUGAUUAUAGACAAUGGAGUCGGGUAACGAUUGAGAACCGUUAUCCAUGGUGAUGUACUGAUGUUUAUUUAACCAGCUCAGAAGUAAUUGCGAAGAUUCAAAGAUUGAAUUGAGAUCUGGUUACUACCAAUUGAAUAUUAUAAGUGACGUUGAUCAUAAGAUGGUUUUCUGGACUUGUUAUAGUUUUUAUGAAGUUUGGUGAUGCUAUGUGGAUACUCAUGCUGUUUUAUGAGUUGAUGGAUGAAGUAUUCCAAUAAUGCCUUGAUAAAUUGAUAUCAUUUUCAUUGAAGAUAUUCUGGCAUAUUCUAAGCCUAGAGCAUGUAAACGUAUUAAGUCGGUGAAGCAAAGAUUAAGAGAACGUUGGUUGUAUGCUAAGUUUAGCAAAUGCGAAUGUUGGAUGAAUCAAGUGGCAUUCUGAGAUUGGUUAUAUCUGCUUAAGGUAUUCAAAUGAAUUCUUAAAAGGCAGCAGAAUUGAGAAAUUGGAACAACCACAAGCCAUAAUUGAGAUUCGGAAAUUCUUAACUUAUCAGGCUAUUUUGGAUGGUUGUGAAAGAAUUUUUAGUCAUUGUUUUGUCAUUGAUGAGACUGUUGAGAAAGGAGGUUAUGUAUGAGUGGGAAGGAAUUGUAAGCAAAGGAUUCAACAACUGAAGUAUUUCCUCACUCAUGCACGUAUUUUGGUAUUCCCAGAGAAUAGUGGUAAUCAUAAAUUUUUAGUGAUGUUUCUUGAAUGGUAUUGGAUGCAUGUUGAUGCAAAUGUUAGGGUGAUUGCAUACGUUUCACGAUAAAUGGAAUCUCAUAAGAUGAAUUACCCUACGGGUGACUUGGAAGUCAUGAUUACCAUUCUUGCUGUGAAGUUAUGAAGGCAUUAUAUUUGGUAAGAAUGCAAGAUUUUUACGAAUCCAAAAAGUCUUCAAUAUCCAUUACUUGGAAGGAUUUUGAUAUGAGGCAGCGAAAGUGAAUUGUAUUGCUUAAUGAACAUGAUUGUACGAUCAGGGUGAUCGUAAAGUUUGUUCUAGCUGAAGCACUUGAUAAGAAGACUGCAGUAAGAAUUAAUAUCUGGUACGCUUGCCAAGAUUAUCUUCUUGUGGAUUGGAAAUCAACUAAAGUAAAGUUAAGAAUGAAAGAUCGAGAAGAAGUUAUACUUGUUAAGUUUCAAGUUAGGCCUUUUGGUAAGGUCGUACUCGAGACUCAAAUGGUAUGUGGAUACAAGAAAACAAAAAGUAUGUGCCUAAUGCUGAGGAUUUGAAGCAAGCAAAUAUUGGACGAAGUUCACUGUUCAACUUCUGCAAUAUUCCAAAAGUAAUAAGAUUUAUCAUACCAUUCGACAGUUUUAUUUGGUCAGCAGAUUGAGGCAGAAAGAGAUAAACCUUUGGAUUGAGAUAAUUAUUUUCUGUUUCGCAGUGGAAAUGGAAAGAUAUUACUUUGGAUUAUGUGUACAAGCUUCCUUGUACACAAGAUGGUUAUGAUCGAAUUUGAAGUGAUAGUUGGUCAAUGUACCAAGUUAGUACAAUUACUCCAGUGUUGAGUAAUAAAUUUUUUUUCAGACAGGGCAACGGUACUUAAUGUAUUUGUGUUCGAUGCGUUGUCACUAGGUGGCAGAGUCGUCUCAUGGAAUUCUGGUGCAACUAUUGAGAAUUAAAUUGGAUUCGACUUGAUAAGGAACCAAGGACGACUUUGGAUUGGAAAAAGAAGGUCCUGAGAAUUAAGACAGAGUAAGUAGUAAAAGCUUUGUGAAGGAAAUCAUUCAGUAGAAAAUUAUGUGGGAAAAAGAGAAUCGGAUGAGAGAGAUUUAUCCGAGGCUAUUGUAUGAGUAUAGAUGAUUUAGUUGGUUGCUGGAAUUUCGGGGACGAAAUUCUAUAAGGAGGGGAGAUUGUCACAGCCCGUCCCGGAAUUUUUAAUUCCGAGGACAUGAAAUUACGAAAAUGUCCCUAAUACGUGACUAAGGUAUAAUUUUCACGUUCGUUAUAUCUAAGCUCCAAAAAAAAUUUGGUAAUUAGAGUGGAGACUUAGACUUAAAUUUUAUGAUGGAAUUUUAUGAAAUUGGGAUUGGAUUGGACAUGUGGGAUCCCCACACCUCAAAACCCUCCCCAUUUCCCGUAUACUGUCCUUCAUACUCUCUCUCUUCCUCAGACCUCACUCUCUCUCUCUCACCCUCUCGAACACACAGGCAACCACCCAAAACCACCUAAAACUUAUACCAACGUCGGAUUUAAAGCUACCAUGGCAUUCCUGAGGACUCCACGAUCACGUAGACACCAAUUUCAGGUAAGUUUUACUUCGGAAAACCUAGAUUCUAAACUCCCCGUGAAAGUGCACUGUUCAUGAUCUUCGAAUUGACUUUGUUUUUAGGACAAUCCAAGCUCAUAGCAAGCUUGGUGAGGUCCCAAGGAAGCUCGGAGUGCUUCGUUGGAAGUUUUUGGACGUAAGAACACGGAGAUCGACAAGUUCAAAGUUUAGCCGGAGCUUUCGAGGCGUUUUCCGGCGAAUCCCCGGCGAGUUAGGAGUCGAGGUAGGUAUCAAUCUCUUCGUCUCGUCAAGUACUACAACUUUCCUUUUGUUUUCACUCAAUUUCGUUGAGUAUUGAAGAAGUUAUACUCAUUUGAAAAAUACCCAGUUUCCGGCGACCUCCGAGGCUUUCGAGGCAGUUUCCGGCCAAACCACGGCGAACUAGGUGUUGUGCAAGGUAUCAUUCUCUUUGUCUCUUCAAGGGCUACAACUUUUGUUUUUGAAUCACUUGAUUUCGUUGAGAAAUGACAAAGUUAUGGCAAUUUGAAAAACUGCCCAGAAAACGGCCGCCGGAAAAACCAGUCCGGCGACCCAAGGAAGAAGAAGGUGCUACAGUAAAAAUAAAAAAAAUAAAAAUAAAAUUAUUUUAAAAAUAUGUCGACGUCCGUGACGUCGAGUAGAUCACUGUGGUAUAUUCAUAUACCUAAAUUGAACACCGUAUGAGAAAGUUAUUGAAGAUUGUUGGUUAGGUGUUCAAAUAACGUUUUAUAGUUUUCACAUUUAGGUGAAAAUGUGAAUUGAUGAUCCGACCGUUGGAUCGUCACCAAACUUUGAUACGUUGUAAUACGUAAUAUUUGAGGAUUAUUGGAACUUACGGAUUGGGAAUCAGAGUUACUGAUCUUCCGGAAUUGGAAUUGUAAGUCCAUAAUAUAAAAUGUUAACCGUCACUUAGUUUUGGAAAUUGACGGAGAUCCGACCGUUGGAUGGUAAUGAAAUUUUAGGAUGUUGUCCUAGAGGUAUAUUGUGGACCUCUGGAAGUUAUGGAUUUAAAAUCUGAGUGGCAGAUCUUCCGGAUCGAUCAACGUAGUGACGUAUUUUAUAUAAGUUAUGUAUUCUAUCGAUAUGAAUUCUGAGGUUGGAAUUGAUUAUUGUUUUAGGCGCCGAUCGUCAUGACGCCUUGGCGUAUUGUGCUAGGGAGUUGUAGGGCGAACUCCAGGUGAGUGGGCAGUUUUGUUUUCCGUAUAUAUAUAUACUUGACGUUUCCCAGAAAUUGAAUUGAAAUGAAAAUAUGUUUAAAAUGAAAUGCAUAUGAGUUAUGUGGAAAAACGGGAAGUGAAAUACCAUGCAUAGAAUUGAUAUGAAAAGUAUAUAGAAAUGUGAGUUGAAAUGCCAUGCAUGAAUUAAUUUAUGAUGCAUAUGUAUGAAUUGGUGCGGUGGACGCACAUGUAAGAAUUGAUUUAUGAUGCAUAUGUAUGAAUUGGUGCGGUGGACGCACAUGUAAGAAUUGAUUUAUGAUGCAUAUGUAUGAAAUGGUGCGGUGGACGCACAGGUGAGUAUCAGGUGAUUAUUUAAAUACUGUUAUGAUGAUGUUGAUAUAUAUUGAGCUCAAAUCCUGCACCAUGGUUUAGUGCUUAUAGUAUUCACCGCAUCGCACGCUCGCCUUGGAUCCAAGUAGAUGCUAGUCGUACAGUCCACGCGGAGUGGGUACGACAGACCAGUCGCGAGAGUGUUAGUGAGAUUCCGACUGGUGGGUGACCUUAGAUUAUGUGCACAGAUGAUUUAUGAGAAGCACUAGAGCGUAACUUGUGUGCAGAAGGCCGGACGGGUCACAGAGGGUGACUCCGGUAGAGUGAUAAUGAUAGAUUUUGAGCUCUAGGUUCAACCGUACAGGGCUAUUAGAGGGCCUACGGUUGAUUACUUUCUUGCACCUGAUAUGAUUAUGUUGAUGCAUUCAUACCUUAUUACUGUUGAGAUGAUGUGGCAUGGCAUAAUUAAUAUGAGAAAUGUUGAGAUGAUGUGGCAUGGCAUAACUGAUAUGAAAAAUGUUGAAAAAGUGAAAUGAAGUAUUGAGAAUAUAUAUGUAUAUUUAUAUUUUACAUUUCUGGGAAAGUAUACAGGUUUUACGGAGAGGGGUUACAACGUUAUGAGAAAUGUUUGGAUUUGGAAAAGAAUUGUUUACUGACCCACUCAAUUUUGGUUUUGCGCCCCUCCAGGUUCAGGAAUCACAAAGGUGUGGUGACUACGAGGAAUACGGCGGGGUUCUGACAGAUUGGACAAAAUUAGGACUCACCUUCGGGUGUAUCAACUUAUAAAUUGUAUAAUUAAAGCUUCCGUACUGUGCAAAUGGUUACGUCACUCUCACGUGACGGCCAGCAUGCCCUCCUUCGGGACGGGGUGUGUCAAAGUGGCUCUGGAUCAUAGUGGUUAAGAGGAGUGUUGUCUUUGUACCACGACUCGAGUUUGAACUCUGUUGACUUUCUAAUAUAAUAUCUAAUGUAACAAAUUCAUCGUUUGACAAAAAAAAUUAUAAUUUUUCAUUGUGUCCAAAACAUGGAAAGUACAUCACGUGUCACUAAGGUGUAUAUGAACCCUUGGUCUCCAAAUAAAAAGAGAUACUAAACUUGUAUAAUUCUAUAACUAAAUUACACUAAUCAUCUUUGUAUUUUAUCUUAAUUUUGAUGUUCGUUGUUUCAUUUUCAUCCUUAUAAUUUCAUUAUUUAUGCAAAGGCCAUAACUUUUACAACUCUAAUUUUUUAGGGAGUAGACAAGGGGGAAGGAGAUCGAAAUAAAAACGGCAAGUAAAGAUGAAUGUUUUUAUCAAACUGAGCUACAAGUUCCUUGCCUUCAACUAGAUUUUUCAAAAAAUGAAAAUGUGGACAAAAAAUGAAUGAAAAUAUCAACUUAUUUGAAGUGAAAACAAGAGGAAAUUGUAGAAAUUGUCCCUCAACUUUAACCCAAUUGGAGUAAUGGUCCCUUAACUUUAUUUCCAUGACCAUUGGUCCCUCAACUCGUCAAAAUGUGUAGAUAUGGUCCUUUUUCUUAACACCGUUAAUAACUCCGUUAAAUUCAGUCAUCUGUAUGGCGCAUGACACUGACUGUAAAGGCAAUUUAGGAAACAAAUUAUUUUCCAAAUAAAAGCAUCCCAAAUAAUAUACAAAGGCACGAGCUUCUCCAUCCAGUCGAAUAAUUUAUUCACCAUUAUGAGGCUCUGGUGUGCUUUAUUGUUAUUGAAAGUAAUGUAAUUCUCAAUUGAUGUCUGCAAUAUUAUUAUACAUUCGCAGAAAGAAAUGGGAGUUUUGGUACAUUACUAGAUUGUUUUUGUCUUGUUAGGUUGAAGUCAAUACCCAUCCCCAGGUUGAAUUCAACCUGGAGUCUAUAUUGACUUCAACCUGAGGAUGGUGAUGCUUUUAUCUAGGAAAUAAUUUGUUUCCUAAAUUACCCUUACAGUCAGUGUCAUGUGCCACGAACAUGAUUGAAUUUAACGGAGUUAUUGACGGUGUUAAGGAAAAUGAUCAUAACUACACAUUUUGACGAGUUGAGGAACCAUUGCUCCAACUGGAUUAAAGUUGAGGGACUAUUUCUACAAUUUCCUCUGAAAACAAAACUAUAAGUUUUAAGGACAGAAUUAUAAUAGAAAAAACUAUAGGGACAAAAAUGAAAUCCAAAUAAUCACAGGGACUAUUAGUGAAAUUGACCAUUUAUAUAUACACGGA
This 10268-nucleotide long non-coding RNA is filed under the name Malus domestica (apple). Its description in RNAcentral is "long non-coding RNA (MDOM_LNC014714)". The record is from RNAcentral. Lineage: Eukaryota; Viridiplantae; Streptophyta; Magnoliopsida; Rosales; Rosaceae.